RNAcentral lists this transfer RNA (76 nucleotides) under Armatimonadota bacterium. RNAcentral's name for it is "Armatimonadetes bacterium (activated sludge metagenome) tRNA-Arg". It matches the Rfam family "tRNA". From Rfam's summary of the family: Transfer RNA (tRNA) molecules are approximately 80 nucleotides in length. The record is from RNAcentral. Lineage: Bacteria; Bacillati; Armatimonadota.
GCGGCUGUAGCUCAGUGGAUAGAGCGCUUCCCUCCGGAGGAAGAGGCCAAGGGUUCGAGUCCCUUCAGCCGUGCCA